RNAcentral lists this ribosomal RNA (537 nucleotides) under Salmonella enterica subsp. enterica serovar Schwarzengrund. RNAcentral's name for it is "partial 23S ribosomal RNA". It matches the Rfam family "Bacterial large subunit ribosomal RNA", at positions 656 to 1191 of the family's 2925-position model. The record is from RNAcentral. Lineage: Bacteria; Pseudomonadati; Pseudomonadota; Gammaproteobacteria; Enterobacterales; Enterobacteriaceae.
AAUAGGGGAGCCGGAGGGAAACCGAGUCUUAAUUGGGCGUUAAGUUGCAGGGUAUAGACCCGAAACCCGGUGAUCUAGCCAUGGGCAGGUUGAAGGUUGGGUAACACUAACUGGAGGACCGAACCGACUAAUGUUGAAAAAUUAGCGGAUGACCUGUGGCUGGGGGUGAAAGGCCAAUCAAACCGGGAGAUAGCUGGUUCUCCCCGAAAGCUAUUUAGGUAGCGCCUCGUGAAUUCAUCUCCGGGGGUAGAGCACUGUUUCGGCUAGGGGGCCAUCCCGGCUUACCAACCCGAUGCAAACUGCGAAUACCGGAGAAUGUUAUCACGGGAGACACACGGCGGGUGCUAACGUCCGUCGUGAAGAGGGAAACAACCCAGACCGCCAGCUAAGGUCCCAAAGUCAUGGUUAAGUGGGAAACGAUGUGGGAAGGCCCAGACAGCCAGGAUGUUGGCUUAGAAGCAGCCAUCAUUUAAAGAAAGCGUAAUAGCUCACUGGUCGAGUCGGCCUGCGCGGAAGAUGUAACGGGGCUAAACCAUG